GAGGACCGAACCGACUAAUGUUGAAAAAUUAGCGGAUGACCUGUGGCUGGGGGUGAAAGGCCAAUCAAACCGGGAGAUAGCUGGUUCUCCCCGAAAGCUAUUUAGGUAGCGCCUCGUGAAUUCAUCUCCGGGGGUAGAGCACUGUUUCGGCUAGGGGGCCAUCCCGGCUUACCAACCCGAUGCAAACUGCGAAUACCGGAGAAUGUUAUCACGGGAGACACACGGCGGGUGCUAACGUCCGUCGUGAAGAGGGAAACAACCCAGACCGCCAGCUAAGGUCCCAAAGUCAUGGUUAAGUGGGAAACGAUGUGGGAAGGCCCAGACAGCCAGGAUGUUGGCUUAGAAGCAGCCAUCAUUUAAAGAAAGCGUAAUAGCUCACUGGUCGAGUCGGCCUGCGCGGAAGAUGUAACGGGGCUAAACCAUGCACCGAAGCUGCGGCAGCGACACUGUG
RNAcentral lists this ribosomal RNA (451 nucleotides) under Salmonella enterica subsp. enterica serovar Enteritidis. RNAcentral's name for it is "partial 23S ribosomal RNA". It matches the Rfam family "Bacterial large subunit ribosomal RNA", at positions 769 to 1218 of the family's 2925-position model. The record is from RNAcentral. Lineage: Bacteria; Pseudomonadati; Pseudomonadota; Gammaproteobacteria; Enterobacterales; Enterobacteriaceae.